RNAcentral lists this small nucleolar RNA (68 nucleotides) under Sphenodon punctatus (tuatara). RNAcentral describes it as "Small nucleolar RNA SNORD52 (ENSSPUG00000005597.1)". It matches the Rfam family "Small nucleolar RNA SNORD52". Rfam says of the family: U52 belongs to the C/D class of snoRNA which contain the C (UGAUGA) and D (CUGA) box motifs. Most of the members of the box C/D family function in directing site-specific 2'-O-methylation of substrate RNAs. The record is from Rfam by way of RNAcentral. Lineage: Eukaryota; Metazoa; Chordata; Lepidosauria; Sphenodontia; Sphenodontidae.
UGCUAUGAUGAUUGUGCUCAGACUAGAGUCUCUGACCCUCAUGGUGAUGCUCAUUGAAGCCCUGAGCA